This is an RNA transcript of Gossypium arboreum, 5155 nucleotides long. It is a transcript of the gene named putative disease resistance RPP13-like protein 1, with no coding region annotated. The record is from RefSeq and is a predicted model, not a curated record. The transcript is spliced from 4 exons. NCBI's taxonomy places the organism in Eukaryota, Viridiplantae, Streptophyta, Magnoliopsida, Malvales, Malvaceae.
UGAUUUAUUUAUUUAAUUGGAUCACAGCUCAUUUUAGAAGUCCCGUUAGCAGUGAUGAAGUUCCUUCAUCUUUAUCGAAAUUAAAGUAUUUCAAGGCAAAGCCUUUCCCUUUUCCUUUUCAUCUUCAUCUCAUAUUUUCACUCUUGCUCUCCUCUUUUCUAUUUCACUUUCACUUUCACUUACUUUCUUCUGUUUCAAAUCCUUCAUCUCUACAACUUUCUUCACUUGACUUUACGCACUCUUCUUUUCCAUUGUUUGCAAUUACUUAGUUUUCAUCUUCCUUUAAAUCUUUCUUUGUAAAACAAAAAACAAAAAAGGAAAAGAAAAACAUGGCUAUGGUGGGUGAAGCUUUUCUCUCUGCUUCCAUUGAGGUGCUGCUUGAUAGGAUUGUUUCUGCAGAAGUUCUGAGGCUUAUCCAAGGAAAGAAACUUGAAGCUGUGCUGCUGAAGAAACUGAAGCCAACCUUGAUGUCGGUGAAAGCAGUAUUGGAUGAUGCUGAAAAUAAGCAGAUUAUCAACCCAAAUGUCAAAAGUUGGACUGAUGAGCUCAAAGAUGCUGUUUAUGAUGCCGAGGACCUCCUGGACGAGAUCUCUACUGAAGCUCUUCGGAACAAGAUCGUAUCCGAAUAUCAAACUACUCCUAUAAAGCAGGUUAGUAGCUUUUUCUCUUCUUUCAAUCCUUUCAAAGAUGGGAUGCAGUCCAAGCUGGGGGAGAUCCUUGGGAGACUAGACUACCUACUCAACCAAAAACAGAUUCUGGGUCUGAAAGAAAACUAUAACGGAGAAAAGGCAUUCCAAAGAACGCCUGCAACUUCUUUGGUGGACGAGUCUGAUGUUUAUGGUAGAGAUGAUGGAAAAGAAGAAAUAAUGAAGUUGUUGGAUCCUCAAAAUCUGUCUGAAAAUCAGAUAGAUGUGAUUCCCAUUGUGGGUAUGGGCGGGCUUGGCAAAACCACCCUUGCCCAAUUGAUCUACAACGAUCCCAGAGCGGAUAAAUGGUUUGACCGCAAAGCAUGGGUGUGUGUUUCAGAGGAAUUUGAUGCUUUCAAGGUAACCAAAACCAUUCUUGAAGAGAUGAAAUGUAGCUGUGAUGGAAACCAGAACUUAAAUCAGCUUCAACUUAAACUCAAAGAGCAGCUGUCGGGAAAGAAAUAUCUAAUCAUUUUGGAUGAUGUUUGGAACAAGAAUUAUUUUCAUUGGAAAGAGCUUGCAAAUCCCUUCACUUCUGGGGCCAAGAAUAGCAAGAUUAUUGUAACAACUCGUGAUGAAAACGUUGCAGCAAUCAUGAGGAACGUUCCAACUUAUCGUUUAGAUGUGUUAUCAGAUGAUGAUUGUUGGAAGUUAUUUGCAAAGCAUGCAUUUGAUGGUUCAAGCCCCACCAAGCAUCCAGAUCUGAUGGCAAUCGGUGAAGCAAUUGUUAAAAGAUGUGGCGGUCUCCCUUUGGCUGCAAAAGCUCUUGGAGGUCUUCUGCGUUGCAAACCAGAUGCUGAUGAGUGGAAGAAAAUUUUACAUAGCAAUUUUUGGGACAUUCCAAAUGAUGCAACUAAUAUUCUUCCAGCGUUAACAUUGAGUUACUAUUAUCUUCCUUCCCAUUUGAAGCGAUGUUUUGCUUAUUGUUCAAUUUUCCCUAAAGAUUACGAAUUUGAAAAGGAAGAACUUAUUCAAUUAUGGAUGGCUGAAGGUCUUUUAGAGCUUCCCAAAGACAAUGGAGAUCUGGAAGAACGGGGUAACGAGUACUUCAAAGAUUUAAGAUUGAGGUCAUUCUUUCAACAAUCUAAAGGAAAGAAAUCUUGUUUUGUCAUGCAUGAUUUAAUUAGUGACUUGGCUAAAUCUGUAACCGGAGAGUUCAUUUGCAGAUUGGAAGGUACUGGUGGUGGUUCUUGUGUAAUAACGGAAAAGACCCGUCAUAUGUCCAAUGUCCAAGAACGAUACGAUGUGCGGCAAAAAUUUCAAAGUUUAGCUAAAGCAAAGGGUUUGCGUACUUUCUUAAAUGUGAACUCUUCUUUCCGUUGGGUAUAUGUUAGCAAUGUGCUAAUGCAUGAUUUGAUGGUGAAAUCAAGCUUACGAGUGCUUUCAUUGGCUGGGUAUACAACUAUCAACAAUUUGCCAGAAGAUAUUGGUAAUUUGAAGCAUCUACGAAUUUUGAAUCUCUCGAAAACUUCAAUCAAAAGGUUGCCAAACUCUUUGUGUACAUUGUAUAAUUUGCAAGCAUUAAAAUUGCGUGGUUGCAGUGACCUUGAUGAGUUGCCGAGAGAUUUGGAGAGAUUGCUCAACAUGCUAUAUCUUGAUAUCAAGGGAACAAACUUAGCAAGGAUGCCAGAAGGAAUGGGUAAGUUGAAAGAUCUUCGAAUGGUAACAAAUUUUGUUUUAAGCUAUCAAACUGGAUCAAGCAUUAAUGAGUUGGGAAAGCUCAAACAUUUACGUGGAAGACUUUCCAUUUCGGGACUAAAAACUGUUGCAUGUGCCAUGGAUGCCAAAGAUGCCAAUUUGAAGGAUAAGGUGGACCUUAAAAAGUUGGAGCUGAGAUGGGGUAAAGAUGAUGAUAUUGAUGGUGAUUCAAGGCAUGAUCGAGAAGUACUUAAACAACUAAAGCCUCAUACAAAUUUGGAGCAUCUUGUUAUUCAAAGUUACAAAGGUACGAGAUUUCCGGAAUGGGUGGGGCAUUCUUCCUUCUCAAAUAUAGUAUCUUUGGGGUUACAUGAUUGUAAAUUUUGCAUAUCCUUACCAGCACUUGGGCAGUUAUCAUCUUUGAAAUCUCUCUCCAUUUCCGGUUUGAGUGGAGUGUUAAUAGUUGGUGAUGAGUUCUACGGGAAUGGACAAGCUUCAACUAAACCAUUUCAAUCACUUGAAAUGCUAAGCUUUGAGAAUAUGGCCGAGUGGGAGGAAUGGUAUUGUCGGAGUGAUGAAGCUUUCCCUCUUCUACAAGAGCUAUGCAUUAGAGAUUGUCCAAAACUAACUAAGUCUCUUCCCAAACACCUCCCUUGUUUAAAGAAACUGGAGAUUGAAGAUUGUGAGAAGCUUGGAGGCUUGCUUCCAACGGCACCAAGCAUUUUGGAACUUGAGUUAAAGAAAUGCCAAGCAUUGCAGUUGGAGCCAUUGGCUUGUGGGCUUCGGGAGUUGGACAUUAGAGAUUCGAAUAUGAAUGAUUCCGUUUUGGAACAAAUGUUGCAACAAUGUACACUUCUUGAAAAGCUACGUUUGGGCUAUUGUUCAGAAAUUAGAUCCCUUCCUGGAGUUAGGGUGCCCAUCACGCUGAAGCGAAUUAGCAUCUCUUUAUGUGAAAACUUGGAUUAUUCCGAUAUCUUCUUGUAUACAUCCCUUGAAUCCUUGGAAAUAGGGAGUAGUAAAUGUUAUGGACUGGAAUCUUUCCCAUUAGGAUCAUUUCCUAUGGUAAAGCGUGUUAAGAUUUGGGGAUGUGAAGACUUGAAGUUUAUUAGUGCUGCUUCAGAGGGCGCUCACCAUCAGCAUCUCAAUUCUUUGGAGAUAUAUUUUUGCCAAAAUUUGAUAUCUUUUCAAAUUGAAGAUGGAUUAGCCGUCACCAAUUUGACCCGACUUGUGCUUUUCGGUUGCGCAAGUUUAAAGUCAUUGCCAGAGCAAAUGCACUCCGUCUUUCCAUCCCUAGAGUAUUUGGAAAUAGGAAGUUGUCCAGAAAUAGAGUGGGUUCCAAAAGAGGGUUUGCCCUCCAAAUUAAAAGAAAUUGGAAUCUCAAGGAGUGAUAAACUAAUUGAUAGCUUGAUUAGGAAAAGGGAAUGGAGUUUGCAUAUACUUCCUUCUCUUACAUUUCUCGAGAUCUGUGGUUCAAAAGUAGAGAUGGAGUGUUUUCCAGAUGAACAUCUGCUUCCCUCUUCUCUUACAUCUCUCAGGAUCUCUUCUCUUCCAAAUCUAAAGAGCUUGGAGUAUAAGGGGUUUCAACACCUCACCUCUCUUUGCAAUUUGUCUAUCUCCAACUGUCCCAACCUCCAAUCCAUGCCCCCAAACAUGCUUCCACACUCUCUUUCUUAUUUGUCAAUCUACAAUUGCCCCAAGCUCCAAUCCAUGCCGCCAAACAUGCUCCCUCCCUCUCUUUCUCGUUUAUCCAUUGAAAAAUGUCCUUUGCUGAAGGAACAUUGUGAAAAGGAUAAAGGUAAAGAUUGGCCCAACAUUUCCCACAUCCCUGUCAUUGUAAUUGAUGGUGAGGUCAUUACAUAGAAGGGGCAGUGACUCAGAAAACAAAUGUUCUGACGAAGAUACCAUGUUCCAAAUAUUCCUUUGUGAGAUCUUCCAUUCUAAAAAUGACUUCCUUCCCACAAAUGAUGAAUCCAGACGCCAGCCUCAAAAUCCUGAAGAUUUGCUUGCCUCUUCUGCCUGUGCAUUUUGUGUAUUAUUCUAAGCUAAAAUGUUGAAGAGGAGAAGCUGUAGUUUUUGAAUAGAGGAAAACCUGCGUUUGGAGUGUGAUAUGUUCAAUAUUAAAAUCUCAUCUACGAUGUUGCUGAAACUUAAAUGAAGGAUAUGUUACUUGGACUCGGGCAAGUGCUAGUUAUGAGCAUGUGUCUGAUAUAGGAUGACGCUGGUGGUAAAGUUUAUAGGGGGUCUCAAAUUCUAGCAAAAAGUUAAAGUAGCCAUGGGUAAAGGAGUGGUUCAUGGAAAUUGAGGAUCGGAUUCCUUCACUCUCCUCGAAAUACAAAGCAACUUGGGUGGACAUUUAAGGAUUCCCUUUGCAUGUGUGGAAUUACAACAACACUUACGAAGACAGCAAAACUAGGGGGGUUGAAGGUGAUUCUUCAAACUUUUCAACCGGUAUACCACUGGCUUCAGCAAGAGGUUGAAUGUGUCUGUAACAAGUUGGUCGAAAUUUUGGAUUGUGAAAGUAACAUGAGGAUGAUCCUACAUUGUUCAUACAUUUGAACAUCAAUUUCGUUUUCAUUGGAACAAUCAGAAGUCAAUAACAACCGCCAUCCACCAUCUGAAGGCCAUGCUGAAUUUGAAACUGAAAUGCUUAUGUGAUUGAAUUCAAAUGUGGGUUAUAAAUUCUGGGUUAUGGUUCCAUACAAAUGUUUAGUUACAAUUUCAUUCCCUCCCCUAUUUAAUAGUUAAUUUCUUGUAAACUUUUGCCUAAAUUCGUCUCCAUGAAUUACUGUACUCGGUUGGAGCUUUUAAUAAUAUAUGAAAUUUUUAACAUA